This 56-nucleotide small RNA is filed under the name Myotis lucifugus (little brown bat). Its description in RNAcentral is "GRIK4 3 prime UTR element (ENSMLUG00000023099.1)". The record is from RNAcentral. Lineage: Eukaryota; Metazoa; Chordata; Mammalia; Chiroptera; Vespertilionidae.
UAGAGGCGGUGGAGACAGGAACGGAGCCAAGAUGGCAGAGGCUGGAGGCGGGAGCA